UCAUGGUUCCAUAGGCCGCGCCUUCGCCUCCUAAAGCACCCAACGCGGGUGCUUCUCAGAAGGGCUCUGCAGUCUCAGCUGGCUGAAUGCGUCCUGAAGGCUGGCAGACACCGGCGGGAAUCUCCUCUUCCGUGUCCUUCAGAAAUCGGGACCCUCAGGGAGAGGACUUCUCUGGUGCUCCAGAGUGCACGUGUGCAGGAUCUUUGUUCCCAGCCAUGGAUUCAGCUGUGCUCCCUGUAGUGGAAGCACAUAGUCCUAACCACUGGUCCACCAGGGAAGCUCCUCUCUGCAUCUUAAUACAAGUUCCAAGGAGACCAUUAUCCACUGCUGUGGCUUAGAAGAUGAACAGCUAUCGCCAGGAAAGAAACUCUUGACCCAGAAACCCUUCAGGGCCCUGAGUGAGAUAUGGGAGCUAGCUCUGGUACAACCGUGACAUGACAUCAGUUCAUUUCUGUCUCUGGUGACCUGGGGAGCCCAGAGAGCUUUUCUGAGUUCCCAUGAAGUCAAAACUAUUUUCAUGGUUAUACUAAGAUGGUAUUUGCCCUUCACUCUCAUUUUCUCAUGAGUAUGCAGUGGAGUUUUCUGCAGAGUAUGAUGUGUGAUAUUUCGACAGAGUGAAUGCAGAAGCAGAUGGCGUAAUCCAGUUGUCAUCGAUUAGGCCAAGCAUUGAAGAGAUUUGCAAAAGUAUAAAACAAUGCUAUUCUCUCGCUGCUUAUUUUGUUUUGGCAAAUAGAGUCAUUUUUCAUUAAAUAUGCUACUUAUGGUAUCAGAA
Long non-coding RNA from Capra hircus (goat), 772 nucleotides. RefSeq lists it as uncharacterized. The transcript has 2 exons. NCBI's taxonomy places the organism in Eukaryota, Metazoa, Chordata, Mammalia, Artiodactyla, Bovidae. The record is from RefSeq and is a predicted model, not a curated record.